GCUAAUACCGCAUAAUGUCGCAGGACCAAAGAGGGGGACCUUCGGGCCUCUUGCCAUCAGAUGUGCCCAGAUGGGAUUAGCUUGUUGGUGAGGUAACGGCUCACCAAGGCGACGAUCCCUAGCUGGUCUGAGAGGAUGACCAGCCACACUGGAACUGAGACACGGUCCAGACUCCUACGGGAGGCAGCAGUGGGGAAUAUUGCACAAUGGGCGCAAGCCUGAUGCAGCCAUGCCGCGUGUAUGAAGAAGGCCUUCGGGUUGUAAAGUACUUUCAGCGGGGAGGAAGGGGAUAAGGCUAAUA
RNAcentral lists this ribosomal RNA (301 nucleotides) under Salmonella enterica subsp. arizonae. RNAcentral's name for it is "bacterial SSU rRNA". It matches the Rfam family "Bacterial small subunit ribosomal RNA", at positions 162 to 465 of the family's 1533-position model. Lineage: Bacteria; Pseudomonadati; Pseudomonadota; Gammaproteobacteria; Enterobacterales; Enterobacteriaceae. The record is from RNAcentral.